UACGUAGGGGGCGAGCGUUGUCCGGAUUUAUUGGGCGUAAAGAGCUCGUAGGCGGUUUGGUAAGUUGGAUGUGAAAUCUCCAGGCUCAACUUGGAGGGGUCAUUCGAUACUGCCAUGACUAGAGUUCGGUAGGGGAGUGUGGAAUUCCUGGUGGAGUGGUGAAAUGCGCAGAUAUCAGGAGGAACACCCGUAGCGAAGGCGGCACUCUGGGCCGGAACUGACGCUGAGGAGCGAAAGCGUGGGGAGCGAACAGG
RNAcentral lists this ribosomal RNA (254 nucleotides) under uncultured bacterium. RNAcentral's name for it is "partial 16S ribosomal RNA". It matches the Rfam family "Bacterial small subunit ribosomal RNA", at positions 524 to 776 of the family's 1533-position model. The record is from RNAcentral.